This 74-nucleotide transfer RNA is filed under the name Ictidomys tridecemlineatus (thirteen-lined ground squirrel). RNAcentral's name for it is "Spermophilus tridecemlineatus (thirteen-lined ground squirrel) tRNA". It matches the Rfam family "tRNA". From Rfam's summary of the family: Transfer RNA (tRNA) molecules are approximately 80 nucleotides in length. Lineage: Eukaryota; Metazoa; Chordata; Mammalia; Rodentia; Sciuridae. The record is from Rfam by way of RNAcentral.
UGGGAUAUAGCUCAGAUGGUAGAGUGCUUGCCUCACAUGCAGAAGGUCCUAGGGUUCAAUCCCCAAUAUCACAA